CAAGGCAGGCGCGUCUACUCCACAAAAUAGACGAUGACCGGCCAGAAAAGGAGGAUAAACACAUCCACAGGGCUUGCGGUGCGGCAGUGUGGAGACCUGUCGUAAUGCGUCGCGCGUCAGCGGACGCGAGGUACGGGCAAGCGGAGGCUUCCGUGCCAGAGCCGGUUGCAUGGCA
The submitters of this non-coding RNA (175 nucleotides) gave its source as unclassified sequences. The record is from Rfam.